RNAcentral lists this ribosomal RNA (433 nucleotides) under uncultured bacterium. RNAcentral describes it as "partial 16S ribosomal RNA". It matches the Rfam family "Bacterial small subunit ribosomal RNA", at positions 29 to 507 of the family's 1533-position model. The record is from RNAcentral.
AACGAACGCUGGCGGCAUGCCUAACACAUGCAAGUCGAACGAGACCUUCGGGUCUAGUGGCGCACGGGUGCGUAACGCGUGGGAACCUGCCUUUAGGUUCGGAAUAACUCAGAGAAAUUUGAGCUAAUACCGGCUGAUGUCUUCGGACCAAAGAUUUAUCGCCUUUAGAUGGGCCCGCGUUGGAUUAGCUAGUUGGUGGGGUAAAGGCCUACCAAGGCGACGAUCCAUAGCUGGUCUGAGAGGAUGAUCAGCCACACUGGGACUGAGACACGGCCCAGACUCCUACGGGAGGCAGCAGUGGGGAAUAUUGGACAAUGGGCGAAAGCCUGAUCCAGCAAUGCCGCGUGAGUGAUGAAGGCCUUAGGGUUGUAAAGCUCUUUUACCCGAGAUGAUAAUGACAGUAUCGGGAGAAUAAGCGCCGGCUAACUCCGUG